This 492-nucleotide ribosomal RNA is filed under the name uncultured bacterium. Its description in RNAcentral is "partial 16S ribosomal RNA". It matches the Rfam family "Bacterial small subunit ribosomal RNA", at positions 29 to 507 of the family's 1533-position model. The record is from RNAcentral.
AGUGAACGCUGGCGGUAGGCCUAACACAUGCAAGUCGAACGGCAGCACAGUAAGAGCUUGCUCUUACGGGUGGCGAGUGGCGGACGGGUGAGGAAUACAUCGGAAUCUACUUUUUCGUGGGGGAUAACGUAGGGAAACUUACGCUAAUACCGCAUACGACCUACGGGUGAAAGCAGGGGAUCUUCGGACCUUGCGCGAUUGAAUGAGCCGAUGUCGGAUUAGCUAGUUGGCGGGGUAAAGGCCCACCAAGGCGACGAUCCGUAGCUGGUCUGAGAGGAUGAUCAGCCACACUGGAACUGGGACACGGUCCAGACUCCUACGGGAGGCAGCGGUGGGGAAUAUUGGACAAUGGGCGCAAGCCUGAUCCAGCCAUACCGCGUGGGUGAAGAAGGCCUUCGGGUUGUAAAGCCCUUUUGUUGGGAAAGAAAAGCAGCAGGUUAAUACCCCGCUGUUCUGACGGUACCCAAAGAAUAAGCACCGGCUAACUUCGUG